UGUCACUUUGCUCUCAUUCACAGAGACAAUCACUCUCUGGACAAAGACCCACGGCGGACACACACACUGAAGACACACAUUCAUUAACUGAGAAGAGAUCCUGAGAGGGACCCACAGCAUCCUGCCCAGAAAGAGAGACUGAUUCCUGGGUAGAGAGACGAGCUCCAGGCACUUCCUAUCCUGAGAGGGACCCACAGCACCAUAGCAUCCUGCCCAGAGAGAGAGACUGAUUCCUGGGUAGAGAGAGGAGCUCCAGACCCUUCCUAUCCUGAGAGGGACCCACAGCACCAUAGCAUCCUGCCCAGAGAGAGAGAGACUGAUUCCUGGGUAGAGAGAGGAGCUCCAGACCCUUCCUAUCCUGAGAGGGACCCACAGCACCAUAGCAUCCUUCCCAGAGAGAGAGACUGAUUCCUGGGUAGAGAGAGGAGCUCCAGACCCUUCCUAUCCUGAGAGGGACCCACAGCACCAUAGCAUCCUUCCCAGAGAGAGAGAGACUGAUUCCUGGGUAGAGAGAGGAGCUCCAGACCCUUCCUAUCCAGCCAUGAGGAUCAUCAGCCUACUGUACCUGCUGCUGCUAGUAACUGUUCUAGGAUCCGUUUCUGCAGUGAGACCAGACAUCUUGAACAUACGGAGAAGGUACCACAGACACCACUGCCCCCACCGACGCUGCAUGCCCCUGCACUCCAGAGGACCAUUCCCCUGAGGUGUAACAGAGUGAACAUGGAGGUAAAAGAGAAGAGGAGAAUCUCUGUGACAUCCUCACCCCUCCUC
Oncorhynchus nerka (sockeye salmon) is the source of this 771-nucleotide long non-coding RNA. RefSeq lists it as uncharacterized. Lineage: Eukaryota; Metazoa; Chordata; Actinopteri; Salmoniformes; Salmonidae. The record is from RefSeq and is a predicted model, not a curated record. The transcript is spliced from 3 exons.